Molecule: ribosomal RNA, 531 nt
Filed under: uncultured Enterobacterales bacterium
Lineage: Bacteria; Pseudomonadati; Pseudomonadota; Gammaproteobacteria; Enterobacterales
Description: bacterial SSU rRNA
Rfam family: Bacterial small subunit ribosomal RNA
Source: RNAcentral
AGAGUUUGAUCCUGGCUCAGAUUGAACGCUGGCGGCAGGCCUAACACAUGCAAGUCGAACGGUAGCACAGAGGAGCUUGCUCCUUGGGUGACGAGUGGCGGACGGGUGAGUAAUGUCUGGGAAACUGCCCGAUGGAGGGGGAUAACUACUGGAAACGGUAGCUAAUACCGCAUAACGUCGCAAGACCAAAGAGGGGGACCUUCGGGCCUCUUGCCAUCGGAUGUGCCCAGAUGGGAUUAGCUAGUAGGUGGGGUAACGGCUCACCUAGGCGACGAUCCCUAGCUGGUCUGAGAGGAUGACCAGCCACACUGGAACUGAGACACGGUCCAGACUCCUACGGGAGGCAGCAGUGGGGAAUAUUGCACAAUGGGCGCAAGCCUGAUGCAGCCAUGCCGCGUGUAUGAAGAAGGCCUUCGGGUUGUAAAGUACUUUCAGCGAGGAGGAAGGCAUUAAGGUUAAUAACCUUAGUGAUUGACGUUACUCGCAGAAGAAGCACCGGCUAACUCCGUGCCAGCCGCCGCGGUAAAAGGG